RNAcentral lists this ribosomal RNA (397 nucleotides) under uncultured bacterium. Its description in RNAcentral is "partial 16S ribosomal RNA". It matches the Rfam family "Bacterial small subunit ribosomal RNA", at positions 523 to 918 of the family's 1533-position model. The record is from RNAcentral.
AUACGUAGGUGACAAGCGUUAUCCGGAUUUACUGGGCGUAAAGGGCGUGUAGGCGGUCUUGCAAGUCAGAAGUGAAAUUCCUGAGCUCAACUCGGGCGCUGCUUCUGAAACUGCAGGACUUGAGUGCUGGAGGGGAUAGCGGAAUUCCUAGUGGAGCGGUAAAAUGCGCAGAUAUUAGGAAGAACACCGGUGGCGAAGGCGGCUAUCUGGACAGUAACUGACGCUGAGGCGCGAAAGUGUGGGGAGCAAACAGGAUUAGAUACCCUGGUAGUCCACACUGUAAACGAUGAAUGCUAGGUGUAAGAGGUAUCGACCCCUUUUGUGCCGGAGUCAACACAAUAAGCAUUCCGCCUGGGGAGUACGGCCGCAAGGUUGAAACUCAAAUGAAUUGACGGGG